AGAGUUUGAUCCUGGCUCAGAUUGAACGCUGGCGGCAGGCCUAACACAUGCAAGUCGAGCGGUAACACAAGGAAGCUUGCUUCUGAGGUGACGAUCGGCGGACGGGUGAGUAAUGCCUAGGGAUCUGCCCAGUCGAGGGGGAUAACAGUUGGAAACGACUGCUAAUACCGCAUACGCCCUACGGGGGAAAGGAGGGGACCUUCGGGCCUUCCGCGAUUGGAUGAACCUAGGUGGGAUUAGCUAGUUGGUGAGGUAAUGGCUCACCAAGGCGACGAUCCCUAGCUGUUCUGAGAGGAUGAUCAGCCACACUGGGACUGAGACACGGCCCAGACUCCUACGGGAGGCAGCAGUGGGGAAUAUUGCACAAUGGGGGAAACCCUGAUGCAGCCAUGCCGCGUGUGUGAAGAAGGCCUUCGGGUUGUAAAGCACUUUCAGUAGGGAGGAAAGGUGAUGUGUUAAAGCACAUUGCUUGUGACGUUA
RNAcentral lists this ribosomal RNA (480 nucleotides) under Shewanella frigidimarina. RNAcentral describes it as "bacterial SSU rRNA". It matches the Rfam family "Bacterial small subunit ribosomal RNA", at positions 8 to 477 of the family's 1533-position model. The record is from RNAcentral. Lineage: Bacteria; Pseudomonadati; Pseudomonadota; Gammaproteobacteria; Alteromonadales; Shewanellaceae.